GCUAGUAAUCGCGGAUCAGCAUGCCGCGGUGAAUACGUUCCCGGGCCUUGUACACACCGCCCGUCACACCAUGGGAGCCGGUAAUACCCGAAGUCAGUAGUCCAACCUCGUGAGGACGCUGCCGAAGGUAGGAUUGGCGACUGGGGUGAAGUCGUAACAAGGUAGC
This 166-nucleotide ribosomal RNA is filed under the name uncultured bacterium. RNAcentral's name for it is "partial 16S ribosomal RNA". It matches the Rfam family "Bacterial small subunit ribosomal RNA", at positions 1334 to 1500 of the family's 1533-position model. The record is from RNAcentral.